GUAGUCUGCAACUCGACUACAUGAAGCUGGAAUCGCUAGUAAUCGCGAAUCAGCAUGUCGCGGUGAAUACGUUCCCGGGUCUUGUACACACCGCCCGUCACACCAUGGGAGUCGGAAAUGCCCGAAGCCAGUGACCCAACCAUAAGGAGGGAGCUGUCGAAGGUGGAGCCGGUGACUGGGGUGAAGUCGUAACAAGGUAUC
RNAcentral lists this ribosomal RNA (201 nucleotides) under uncultured bacterium. RNAcentral's name for it is "partial 16S ribosomal RNA". It matches the Rfam family "Bacterial small subunit ribosomal RNA", at positions 1300 to 1500 of the family's 1533-position model. The record is from RNAcentral.